Molecule: ribosomal RNA, 773 nt
Filed under: uncultured bacterium
Lineage: Bacteria
Description: bacterial SSU rRNA
Rfam family: Bacterial small subunit ribosomal RNA
Source: RNAcentral
AGAGUUUGAUCAUGGCUCAGGACGAACGCUGGCGGCAUGGAUUAGGCAUGCAAGUCGAACGAAAAGCAGGAGCUUGCUCCUGUGGACGAGUGGCGAAAGGGUGAGUAACGCGUGAGUAACCUGCCCUCAAGUCGGGGAUAACCUCUGGAAACGGGGGCUAAUACCGGAUGUGGAUAAUUUUUCGCAUGGAAUUUUAUCUAAAAAUUUAUUGCUUGAGGAUGGGCUCGCGUACCAUUAGCUUGUUGGUGCGGUAACGGCGUACCAAGGCGACGAUGGUUAGGUGGAUUGAGAGAUCGGUCACCCACACUGGGACUGAGACACUGCCCAGACUCCUACGGGAGGCUGCAGUCGAGAAUCUUCCGCAAUGCGCGAAAGCGUGACGGAGCAAUGCCGCGUGGUCGAUGAAGGCCUUAGGGUUGUAAAGACCUGUCACAUGGGACGAACUUUGACGGUACCAUGAGAGGAAGCCACGGCUAACUACGUGCCAGCAGCCGCGGUAAUACGUAGGUGGCGAGCGUUGUUCGGAUUUAUUGGGCGUAAAGGGUCCGCAGGGGGUUUGCUAAGUCUGAUGUGAAAUCCCGGGGCUCAACCCCGGAACUGCAUUGGAAACUGGUGAACUAGAGUAUCGGAGAGGUAAAUGGAAUUCCUGGUGUAGCGGUGGAAUGCGUAGAUAUCAGGAAGAACACCGAGAGCGAAGGCAAUUUACUGGACGAUCACUGACCCUCAGGGACGAAAGCGUAGGUAGCGAACAGGAUUAGAUACCCUAGUAGUCC